GACGUAGGGGGCGAACGUUAUCCGGAAUUAUUGGGCGUAAAGGGUGCGUAGGCGGCAUGAUAAGUUAUUGGCGGCAAAUCGAGGCUCAACCUCGUGGAAACUGAUAAUACUGUCUUGCUUGAGUGCAGAAGAGGUUAACGGAACUCCAUGUGGAGCGGUAAAAUGUGUAGAUAUAUGGAAGAACAUCAAUAACGGCGAAGGCAGUUAACUAUUCUGUUACUGACGUUGAGGCACGAAGGCGUGGGGAGCAAAACGG
RNAcentral lists this ribosomal RNA (256 nucleotides) under uncultured bacterium. RNAcentral's name for it is "partial 16S ribosomal RNA". It matches the Rfam family "Bacterial small subunit ribosomal RNA", at positions 524 to 776 of the family's 1533-position model. The record is from RNAcentral.